RNAcentral lists this ribosomal RNA (474 nucleotides) under Yarrowia lipolytica. RNAcentral describes it as "eukaryotic LSU rRNA". It matches the Rfam family "Eukaryotic large subunit ribosomal RNA", at positions 61 to 515 of the family's 3401-position model. Lineage: Eukaryota; Fungi; Ascomycota; Dipodascomycetes; Dipodascales. The record is from RNAcentral.
GAAACCAACAGGGAUUGCCUCAGUAACGGCGAGUGAAGCGGCAAAAGCUCAAAUUUGAAACCCUCGGGAUUGUAAUUUGAAGAUUUGGCAUUGGAGAAAGCUAACCCAAGUUGCUUGGAAUAGUACGUCAUAGAGGGUGACAACCCCGUCUGGCUAACCGUUCUCCAUGUAUUGCCUUAUCAAAGAGUCGAGUUGUUUGGGAAUGCAGCUCAAAGUGGGUGGUAAACUCCAUCUAAAGCUAAAUACUGGUGAGAGACCGAUAGCGAACAAGUACUGUGAAGGAAAGGUGAAAAGAACUUUGAAAAGAGAGUGAAAUAGUAUGUGAAAUUGUUGAUAGGGAAGGAAAUGAGUGGAGAGUGGCCGAGGUUUCAGCCGCCCCUCGUGGGCGGUGUACUGCCGACGCCGAGUCAUCGAUAGCGAGACGAGGGUUACAAAUGGAAGCGCCUUCGGGCGUUCUCCCCUAACCCUCCACAC